GGGUUUACUUGCUGUUGUUGUGAAAGCUGAUUUAAUGACUGGUGUUGGUGUUUCCUCAGCAGAGCUGCAGCAGCGACAGAAGCCUCCUCCAGACUGCAUCCUGAACACUGCGACUCUACAAUCCAUCUUUGUACCAACCAUCCAGUGCAUGACCCCUCCAGAGCAUCCUUAUGUGUUUCCUGCUCAGAUUCUAUUCUGGCUUUAUUCGAGUUCAGUUGGAGAGAAAAUGAUGUCUGGGAUCGACUAACAUUCCUCAAGCCGUUUUAGUUUGGACUAAAAGUGCUUUUUUAAUUGUAGUAUCUGUGGAAUGAUCAACUUUUCUAUAUUCCUCUCCUUUUUAGGCGCUCCUUUUUAAAUAAAAGCCAACUGACAGGGUAUCGUGUUUCUAUGAAGGCGCUCGUCCUCAGCUUUAAGAGAUGCUACUGGCUCUGGGACUGAGGUCAUCAGUGAGACUCUCUGCAUGCGCUGUACCUUCACUUGUUGCUUUGCUCUUACUUUUGUGUUUUUAUCUCCUCCUCUGCCGGUUUGUUUGGUCAGUGUGACCUUUGAUUUCCAGACAUUCCAGUCAAACAGCCACUGAUCUAAAUAUUAAUGUUCAUCUUUUAUUUCUAUGCAUUGAUUUUUUUUCUUUCUUUAAAGCCAGUCAAAGCUUGUGAUUCCUCUGUAUUCAGCAUGUCAUCCUGUUAGUGGAACAGUUCUUUUCAUUUGGAGUCUCUGCUGUGCUGAAGGUUUGGUGACUCUUGUUGAUUUUAGACUCGUGUCCAGUGAACAUCUGUCUAUAUACUGUGAGACUGCCUCUGACUGAAGUAUUAAAAGUGCUCUUGUUAGUUGUGAGUGCCUAGAAUGGCUUUGAAUGUUGCCUUUAUUUAGGUCUGAAGGUCCGGUCACACCAGGAUUACUGUGUUCACUCACAGCAGGACAGAAAUCAGCACAAAUGUUUCAGUUUAACUUUAGUGGUGUCUAAACGGACUUUAUCGACCAAUAACAGGCUGUGUUUAUAGCGCUGAUCUUUGAAGGAUGGAGUCAGACGAGAACAAUGAUGAAGCUCAUUACAGAGGAUUAGUCACCAGUUCAGCCUCUGCUGCUGGUAGCUGGAUCUAUCAAUGCUGGUCGGAUGGAUUAAUUAUGUUUAAUAAUGAGCAGCGCCGUUAAUCUAAGAUGUUCCACAGCCAGUUUGGAACAGACAGAUGUAGUGUCAGACUGAAACCACAUAAAGCACAGAUAUGUGGAUGUUAAACCUGUUAGAAAAGAGGGUUCCUGGUGCUAGCAGUGCUAACGUUACCGCUCAGUCUGACAUCAUUUAGACACUGUGAUCCCGUUGAUUCUGAAAAGAUAACGCAGCUUCACUCAGCUUUGUUUCUGUAAUAAAUGAAAUCCAUCCAGACUUGUUCUGUUAUUAGACCAAACUAAGUUUAAAUCUCAGUUUAACAGGGAGGGGAGUCACCUGGAACACCUGUCCUCGUCGUGCUACCUGUUUCACCAUCCUUUUCUCUUUAACCUCCUCCAAAUAAAAAGAGGAAUGCUGUGUAGACAGUAGACUGCGGUUCAAGUGCCUCUUUCCAACACUAAAUGUUCAGAAAAUACCAGAACCUGCGGUCAGAACCACAUGGCUGUGUUUCAGUUAAUGUAUAAAACUAUUUCCAGUUCCACAAAUAAAAACACCACAUGCCAUUUGUUUAGCACAACUAGUGAGCACCACCUCCAUACCUGGCUCCUGGUAGAAUAAAAACCAGUGGAGCUCUCUGUUUGUUUGGUUCUGGUGGACGUUGUGUACCGUGUUGGGAAACAACAUGUUCGUCCAGAAGGACGUAACAGAAGCAUCUAGAAUCCAUCCAGACCUAAAGUCAAACACAGAUCACUGCUGUCUGUUUCCUGGUGUGACCAGACCUGACCAGGAGGAUCCUGUCAGGUCUUUGUUUUAACUUAUUGCUGUUAAACAGGAGAACCUCAGUACCGCUGCUGAUGUGGAUGUGGUCUGACAGAUUUAAAAUAUCUCCAUGUAAAAGUCCUGAUUUAUGAAUACCAUAAUUAAUCAAUCAACUGUUACCUUGAUUUCUGAUUGUGUAAAAGAAGUUUCAUUUCACGUUUUCUUAAAUGGCUUCGGUCUUUAUUUGUCAUUAAGCUUUUCUACGUUUUUUUUUUUCAGUUGAAAUCCAGAUGUGUUAUUAAUCUAAACCUUGUAUGCCAAUAAAUGAAACAUGUACA
This is a long non-coding RNA of Amphiprion ocellaris (clown anemonefish), 2205 nucleotides long. The record is from Ensembl. NCBI's taxonomy places the organism in Eukaryota, Metazoa, Chordata, Actinopteri, Pomacentridae.